GUAGUCCACGCCCUAAACGAUGUCAACUAGGUGUUGGGGGAGGAGACUUCCUUAGUACCGCAGCUAACGCGUGAAGUUGACCGCCUGGGGAGUACGGUCGCAAGAUUAAAACUCAAAGGAAUUGACGGGGACCCGCACAAGCGGUGGAUUAUGUGGAUUAAUUCGAUGCAACGCGAAAAACCUUACCUACCCUUGACAUGCCAAGAACUUGCCAGAGAUGGCUUGGUGCCCGAAAGGGAGCUUGGACACAGGUGCUGCAUGGCUGUCGUCAGCUCGUGUCGUGAGAUGUUGGGUUAAGUCCCGCAACGAGCGCAACCCUUGUCAUUAAUUGCCAUCAUUUAGUUGGGCACUUUAAUGAGACUGCCGGUGACAAACCGGA
This 379-nucleotide ribosomal RNA is filed under the name uncultured bacterium. RNAcentral's name for it is "bacterial SSU rRNA". It matches the Rfam family "Bacterial small subunit ribosomal RNA", at positions 790 to 1167 of the family's 1533-position model. The record is from RNAcentral.